ACAUAUAUAGUUUAACCAAAACAGUAAUUUGUGGAAUUAAAAAUAAAAUUAUUUUA
Molecule: transfer RNA, 56 nt
Filed under: Harpactocrates apennicola
Lineage: Eukaryota; Metazoa; Arthropoda; Arachnida; Araneae; Dysderidae
Description: tRNA-His
Source: RNAcentral